UGGGGAUAGGAAGGGUACCGGAGUGGGGCACCAGCUGUGGCGGAGACAAUGGAAGGAUUCACACUAAUAACCUUCACACACACACACACAAUGGACCAUAAUAAAUGCAUUAAUAGAGAUGAUGAUACUAUAAGGAUGUUGAUUUAUUGCUGAUAACUGUCAAGAUUAAUAAUAACAAUAAUAAUAAUGACUAUGACUUAUUUUCAGAGUGGAGUAAAUUGAACUGGUUUGCAGACAGUUGGGGCUCAGACAGUCUCUCGGUGGUGAACUUAUGGAAGGAAACUAGUGUCUUAUCUCUCUUCAGGCCUUCAUUUUGACCCGGACCAGCCUGCACUGCUGGCUGCCAGUCCGUCUCAACAUUCUUCAUUCUGGCUUCUUCAGAUUUCUGCCUGCUUUCUCUCUCACAGCCUUUCCUUUUGACACUUUUGUACUUAACAGAUAUUUUUCGAUGAAGCUGUCAAUGAGGCCUGCACUUUUCUACUCCUAAUUUUAAUGUCCUCGGCAGGACGCGACCCGUUCCCAACAAAAACCCCUUUUCUCUUCUGUUCUCACCCAUGCUGUUGGUUGUGACACAAAGCAACAAGGUUCCUCUUUUUUCUGUAAGUUUGGAACGUUGUUUUUUUUUUUUUUAAAAAGGUCGGCAUGUUGUCAGGCACCUAGCAGAACAAUACACCCAAGGGACCUCUUAAGGAUGUUUCUCGUUGCCACAUAAAAUUUAGCCAUGACUAAGUAAGCCAAAUGAUUGCUAUUAAUAGACAUCUCUUAAUUCUUCGAUUCUGUAAUAUGUUGGAUGAAAUUGGAUGAGUCUGACCCACAUUUCAGAAUUUGUGGCUGUUGCACUGGUUCACAUGGAUUAUCCUUUGAUAGGUGAGAAACGUCCGAUUAGUGAUUCUGAAGGAAUGCGUCUCUAUAUGUUUGUAUGUUUGGGCUGCCUGACAAUCCCUUUACAUCUCUGUCUCUCCUUUCUUGUGUGUGAUUCUGUGUGUGUGUGUGUGUGUGUGUGUGUGUGUGUGUGUGUGUGUGUGUGUGUGUGUGUGUGUGUGUGUGUGUGUGUGUGUGUGUGUGUGUGUGUGUGUGUGUGUGUGUGUGUGUGUGUGUGUGUGUGUGUGUGUGUGUGUGUGUGUGUGUGUGUGUGUGAGUGUGUGUGAGUGUGUGUGAGUGUGUGUGAGAGUGUGUGUGUGUGAGUGUGUGUGUGUGAGUGUGUGUGUGAGUGUGUGAGUGAGUGAGAAUAAUGCCCACUCAUGCUGUUCUUCACAUCGGCAUCAUCAUCACCAUGAGAAGGUUUCUGGUUUCUGUCCCUCUCUCCUUCACUUUACUCUGGUAGUCUUAAAGCGAGGCGAUAAUGCUCUGAUCCAUCCACACUCAAGAUGUUUUCCUGUGUCUGUUACACUUAGAUCUGCUUCUUUUAGUGUUUUCUACUAGUUGUUGACUCUUGACUGUCGAGUGUGUGGCUAACAGACGUAUUUUGAACUCUAGGAUAAGAGGGCUUUUCUGAUGUCACACGAGAAUGUUUUUGUCCAAUAAGGAGAGACGGCCGCUCGUCACACAUGGAACAAUAAUGAGGGGGCUUGAUUGAACCUUUUAUUUCCCCCCCUCCCAUGCACUGUAACCCCCGGCCCGUCUAAAAAAAAAAAAAAAAAAAAGAAAAGGAAAAAAAGACGCAGCUCUUACUGUUUUUGUUCGGUUUGGUCUUCCACCCGUUUGUCACGGCGAAGCUGUACGGCACUAUCUCGGACGAUGCUGUUGCAUCCAUAUAUAUGGUCGGUUGUGCUGAGAUUUGUCCUGUGUUUCAUAGCAUUACCGAGUAACUCCAAGGAGGCGGUUACAUCCUGUUUUGUGUUUGUGCUUUGUUGUUCUUUUCUUUGUGUGAGUUUGCAGUAGCUGCCUCUUCUAGUGUUAAUACUCUACGUAUGAUUCGGGGCGGUGUGACGGUGCACAGUUGGCCCUAGAACGAGACAAGCCAUGACGAAGAAAAAAAAACGCCACACGUAAUUCUCAAGGGCUUCCUCUGACUGCACAGACACACGAUCACCUUUUCAGGCUCACACAGUAGGAAGAAUCAACUUAUCCUUUAUGGCAGCUAGUAGCUAGGUCAUCCAGGGCUUCCAGACACUUGUGUUCAAAUCCCAGCAGCUGCAGAAUGUUUUUCGUGUUUUUGUUUUGUUUUCUAAUUGCCCCUACACAGUCAUCGCAUUCAGAUCGCAGUGGGAGGUUCUCACAGAUCAGGACGGGUUUGUGAGGGGUUGUUUUUGUUAUCAAGGGUAACUCCGGGCAGUCGCUGCUGCUGUGCUUUGGUGCUCCAGCCAGUUUUGUUGUUAAUCUUAUUCACUGUGUUCGUUUGCUACUUCGGUGAUGAUGGCAGUAGCUCCCCUCCCCGAGGUAUCUGUCCUGGUUGAGCGCAGCAGUGCACUGACUUCGACAGUUUGCGAGAGGAAAAAAAACCUGUCCGGGAGCUGAACUGAUAGUCUUUGUGAAGACUAGGUGCUUUUGGUGCAGCUUCCUACUGAAAAAGCACGACAUGAACAAACCCCCAGCUGUUAGCGGGAUGGAGGGAGGGAGGCCGUUUAGUUCUCAGACUAACUUCUCCAAUGCACUGUAGACCUGACAACCCUGUUCUCAUUCUCCCCUCCCUCUGUGGGACCGCCGUGUUGAAACGGGAGAGCCAUCCUUUCGUCGGGCUCUGAUGUCAAACGUCGCUUUUCUUUUUCUUCGUGCACACUCGGAACAGAUGCAGGGGCUGCGAAUGUGUCUGAAUGAACAGAUCCUUGAUGAGUGUUUGUGUGAGACCAAUCUUAAAGCCCUACUUCUUUAAACUCGUCCCACGUUGUUAAAGAAUAAAAAAAAUAAAUGUUGUAUUUGCCAGACGGUUCUAAUGUAAAUCCUGGUGCUGCACCGGGGUGUUUCCUGGCCAUUGAGAGAGUGUUAGGGUUCAUGUACAGUAGUUUAAUUGUUAAAAAGGUACAAAUUUUUUCAGAUCGACUGCUGAUUUUUAUUUUUUUUAAGUCAAACUUUCCCCCCUCCCCCAUUUCCUUCCUAAAGGUUUGAAAACAGGGUUUCCUGAGGCAUGCUAGCCAGUGACCUCUGACCUUUUUUUUGUGAUUAGAGGAGGGGGAUGCGAAGAGAGCCACGCCAGUAAGGGGUGACAGAUGCCCCCUCAAGCCUCCGCUCUCCUAUUUUUGCUUUAAAUCUCUUUGUAUGCAGAACCAAAAUGUAAAACGUCAGCAAACGUAGGUUUCAGGCCUAACCUGUGUGUGUAUAUACCCUGGAUACAAUCAUUGGGAUCUUGUUUUCAAAAGCAAAAUGACUUAAUUGAAGAUAAGUGUAGUUUCUAAAGAACAUGUAUCAUUAUUUGUAAGUUAACCAUCUGCAUGUCUUCAAGCCACCUGGCAUUAGCUAAUAAUUUUUAAGAUAAAAAAAGAAAAAAAAACUUUUUACACGUUUUAUUUUUUACAAUUUAUUUGCUUACCUAAAUAUCCCAGACAAUAAUGUGACCCUUUUUAUUACUUCAAAUUUAUUUUUAUUUUCCAUUUUUUAUUUUCCUUAUUUCCUGUGUACUACAUAUAGGCAAUUUAUAACAAAAUGAGAAAAUUAUUGAAGAAAUUUUAAAAUUGAAAUAUAUUUUAUUUGAAAGUUUAUGGACCUUUUAACCGUGAGCCGGGAAAAAAUUGUAUAAUCAUAUAAUUUGAGCUGACUUGACGGUUAUGAGAAAUGUAUCAAGAGUUUUAUUUUUUAUGCUUCUUUAAUAAAGUCUUGUUUUUGGUUUCAUUUUUUUACUGUUAAAUAAGAACUCGUGUCUCGUGUCUUUAUUAGUAGAGUAGACCCACAUGGUGGCAGUAGAGAGACACCUGCAGGACAAACAUGAAGAAUGCUGCAGCUCAGGUGUGUUUGGAAACCCACACUGUAAAAUGAUGUUUUGUGACAGACUAGAAGAAAUGUGUUAGGCUGCCAGAAGAAAAUCUUCUCUGUGAAUUAAACAUCUUUGGCUUAUAGGCUGUUGAUCUGACAGAAAGGAUGUUCUGAAGAAGAAUAUUUUUCACAGAUUUCUGACAUUUUAGAAACUGAACUAGAGCCAAAGCAAUUACUACACUGACAGAAAAGGGAUUUUUUAAUGACCAA
Long non-coding RNA from Amphiprion ocellaris (clown anemonefish), 4116 nucleotides. The record is from Ensembl. Lineage: Eukaryota; Metazoa; Chordata; Actinopteri; Pomacentridae.